ACCAGGAUGUUGGCUUAGAGGCAGCCACUCGUUCAAAGAGUGCGUAAUAGCUCACUGGUCGAGUGAUCUUGCGCGGAAAAUUUAACGGGGCUAAGCAUGUAACCGAAGCUUAGGAUUUGCGGGAAACCGCAAGUGGUAGGGGAGCGUCGAAUGCGGGGUGAAGUCGCACCGGAAGGAGCGGUGGACUGCAUUCGAGUGAGAAUGCCGGAAUGAGUAGCGAGAAUUAUGUGGGAAUCAUAAUGGCCGAAAAUCUAAGGUUUCCUGGGGAAGGUUCGUCCGCCCAGGGUAAGCCGGGAGCUAAGGCGAGGCCGAGAGGCGUAGUCGAUGCACAUACGGUAGAAAUUCCGUAGCCGGUACAAUUGUUAAGCAUAGUGACACAUGAGCGUAGCGCUACCGGGCGUUGGUUGCCCCGGGCGUAAGCGAGUCGAAUGAGACGAAGUGCGUGAAGCUUGUGGCGAGAAAAGCUAUGCGGAUUGGUUGUACUGCCCGUACCGCAAACCGACACAGGUAGAUGAGGAGAAGAUCCUAAGGCCAACGGGAGAAGGGUUGUUAAGGAACUAGGCAAAUUGACCCCGUAACUUCGGAAUAAGGGGUGCCUACGAGAGUAGGUCGCAGAGAAUCGGCCCAAGCAACUGUUUACCAAAAACACAGGUCUCUGCUAAAUCGAAAGAUGACGUAUAGGGGCUGACGCCUGCCCGGUGCUGGAAGGUUAAGAGGAGGACUUAGGGGAACCCGAAGGUUUGAAUUGAAGCCCCAGUAAACGGCGGCCGUAACAAUAACGGUCCUAAGGUAGCGAAAUUCCUUGUCAGGUAAGUUCUGACCCGCACGAAAGGCGUAAUGAUUUGGGCACUGUCUCAACAGCCCGCCCGGCGAAAUUGUAGUACCGGUGAAGAUGCCGGUUACCCGCAACUAGACGGAAAGACCCCAUGGAGCUUUACUGCAGCUUAAUACUGAGAUUCGGUAAAUCAUGUACAGGAUAGGUGGGAGGCAUUGAAGCACGGUCGUCAGGUCGUGUGGAGCCAGCCUUGGGAUACCACCCUUGGUUUGCUGGAUUUCUAACCUGCUGCCCUGGAUCGGGUAGGGGGACACUGUUAGGCGGGCAGUUUGACUGGGGCGGUCGCCUCCUAAAAUGUAACGGAGGCGCUCAAAGGUUGGCUCAGCAUGGAUGGAAACCAUGCAAUGAGAGUAAACGUAUAAGCCAGCCUGACUGCGAGACCGACGGGUCGAGCAGAGACGAAAGUCGGAGUUAGUGAUCCGGUGGUAUGUGAGUGGAAAUGCCAUCGCUCAACGGAUAAAAGCUACCCUGGGGAUAACAGGCUGAUCUCCCCCAAGCGUCCACAGCGACGGGGAGGUUUGGCACCUCGAUGUCGGCUCGUCGCAUCCUGGGGCUGAAUUAGGUCCCAAGGGUUUGGCUGUUCGCCAAUUAAAGCGGCACGCGAGCUGGGUUCGGAACGUCGUGAGACAGUUCGGUCCCUAUCUGUUGCGGGCGUAGGAGAUUUGAAGGGAGCUGUCCUUAGUACGAGAGGACCGGGAUGGACGCACCUCUGGUGUACCAGUUGUUCUGCCAAGGGCACGGCUGGGUAGCUACGUGCGGACGAGAUAAACGCUGAAGGCAUCUAAGCGUGAAACUCCCCCUGAGAUAAGAUCUCCACUGAGGCUCGACGUAGACUAUGUCGUUGAUAGGUCAGAGGUGUAAGUGCUGAGAGGCAUUAAGCUGACUGAUACUAAUAAGCCGAAAGCUUGAU
This 1745-nucleotide ribosomal RNA is filed under the name metagenome. Its description in RNAcentral is "bacterial LSU rRNA". It matches the Rfam family "Bacterial large subunit ribosomal RNA", at positions 1092 to 2925 of the family's 2925-position model. The record is from RNAcentral.